GAGGAGGUCCCUAAUUCUCCUCUGACUCAGCCUCAGCCUCUUCACUUUGGGGCAGUCUUUCCCCAGAUGAACACAACCUGGGGCAGCCCGGGGAUGUCUGAGCCACCAGCUCUGCCUUCUCCUUUCUGUGCCCUGGGGAAACCGAGACUUAGGGUUAAUAGAGACGUAGCAGAGAGGUAAACACACCGGCUGAUAAAAUGGAAAAAUAUUCAUCUAAGAAAAGGAUACGCAUAUUUAAGAGAUGCCCUUUGACAUGGUUGUGUGUGUGCAGCAGUGAUGCAGACAAAGUGGAAAAGAACGCCUACCGCUCAGAGAACUUCUACCUGUCACCGUGGAGGAUGUCCGCCCGGUCAAAGCAAAAACAAAAACAGAUCUCUACCCCUUCUCAGGACCGAUGCAAAAUUGACUUUCUCAGUGGAUAUGAUGACGUAUCUCACCCCUGCUCUUCGGCUGCGCACAUACAGGAUGACCAGUUUUCUACUUUCUCAGAAAAUGGAGGAUAUUGUGAAGUGUUGAUAUCAAAGCCACCACCGCACAUCACUGCUCUUGGAACUGAGUCCUGUGAGGAAGAGAUUUCCUGAGACAGACAGAGCAUGAACAGGGGAGGGUCAGAGAGAGAAGGAGUCACAGAAUCUGAAACAGGCUCCAGGCUCCGAGCUGUCAGCACAGAGCCUGACACGGGGCUCGAACUCACGGACCGCGAGAUCGUGACCUGAGCCGAAGUCGGCCGCUUAACCGACUGAGCCACCCAGGCACCCCGGUAACUUAAUUCUUAACAAUAGCUGUGUUUAGCAACCUGCCCACACAAUUCCUGAAAAAUUUAACAGUCGGAUCCCACCUACUGGGAUGAAUUGGCUCCCGCUCACCAGGGGUUCCUCCCACCACCGAAAUCCCAACCUCUGCCACCCAUUGGAAUCCAGCGUGCAGGAGCAUCACACAGAAGGCAGUGUAUGUAACCUCUGUGCUUUGCAUGGGGCCAACACAAUCCAUGACUGCUUCUGUAGCCUCAGACAUAGCGCCAAGACUGAGCAGGGCAGGUCAAGUUUCUCGCACGUGGCUUGCCCAAGAACGCUUUUGAGAAAAGAGCCACAGAUUCUUUAAGUCCACUUCUGCAAAUAUGUGUUCUUUUUUAUCCAUAGCCUGUGUAUCAAUUUCUCUGUUAAUCCCUUUCAUGUUGAAGUGAAUAGACAUAGCAAGGAAUAGAUAAGGAGUUUGGGGAUCAAGGAUUACGUGUAUAGAUCAAGAAAUGAAGGGAAUCUAAGAACACAUCAGUGAAACUAGACAUUUCAUGAUACCAUGGAAGCAAUUAUGCAAUAAUUACUUUACCCACAGAAAACAAUGCUUUUGUUUCCUCUUUCAUCACAUCUCCCCCUCCCCCCUUUUUUUUUUAACUUAAGCAGGCUUCAUGACGAGCACAGAGCCCAACACAGAGCUCGAAUUCACAGCCAUGAGAUCAUGACCUGAGAUCAAGAGUCAGACGCUCAACUGACUGAGCCACUCAGGCGUCCUUCAUCAUACCUCUUUUUAGGAACUAGGAUUCUUGCCUUGUGAUACCCCAGGUCUUGAUUCAUUCCAAAUUUCCAACUCCCCAAGACAGAGGCUGGAUUGUGUUGGUUGUCGUCAUGUGUUAGGGACAGAUUCUCACAACCAGGUGCCUCAUGAACCACUAGCUCACCCCAUAGAUCACGAUUUUCAGCUUUGUCUAAAUAGUGGAAUCAUGGAAGCUUUAAAAGUAAUGGUGCUUUGGUCUCACCACCAACCUCCUGACUUAAUUGGUACGGGCUGUGACCUGUGUUUUGUGAUAGGUAUGUGUGUGAGUUGCAGGGGAGGGGGGCGGUGAGUGGUUUAGCUUCCCAGGUGCAGUCAAGUUUGGGCACCACUGCUAUGGGGGCAUGUGUUUCACCCAUGAGUCAAUUGCUAAUUCAGUGUUUUUAUUCCAAAAGUUAUAUGACACAAAUGAGAGCCAAUUAAUUAAUGCUAAAUGACCCAAAAUGUUUAUUUGACUAAAUUCUAUUUCAUGUAUAAGCAUUACAGUCUCCCCUCUGUUUAUCAGACUUUGGCAGUUAAAAAAAUGAACCAACCUUAUCCAGAACAGUGAAAAUACCAAGUGUGCUAAAAUCUACAGUUUUACUGUAGGACACACACACACACACACACACACAGACACAUGUGCACACACACACACACACACACACAUAAACAUGUGUGUGUGUGUACGUG
Panthera uncia (snow leopard) is the source of this 2220-nucleotide long non-coding RNA. RefSeq lists it as uncharacterized. The transcript has 5 exons. The record is from RefSeq and is a predicted model, not a curated record. NCBI's taxonomy places the organism in Eukaryota, Metazoa, Chordata, Mammalia, Carnivora, Felidae.